UACGUAGGGGGCAAGCGUUGUCCGGAUUCAUUGGGCGUAAAGAGCGUGUAGGCGGCCAGGUAGGUCGGUUGUGAAAACUGGAGGCUCAACCUUCAGAGGUCGACCGAAACCAUCUGGCUAGAGUCCGGGAGAGGAGAGUGGAAUUCCUGGUGUAGCGGUGAAAUGCGCAGAUAUCAGGAAGAACACCGGUGGCGAAGGCGGGUCUCUGGGCAACAACUGACGCUGGAGGAGCGAAAGCGUGGGGAGCGAACAGG
Molecule: ribosomal RNA, 254 nt
Filed under: uncultured bacterium
Lineage: Bacteria
Description: partial 16S ribosomal RNA
Rfam family: Bacterial small subunit ribosomal RNA
Source: RNAcentral